UGAGGAACCUGCCCCGAAGACCGGGAUAACCCUCCGAAAGGAGAGCUAAUACCGGAUACCCCCACCGGACCGCAUGAUCUGGUGAGGAAAUGGAUUCCGCUUCGGGAGGGCCUCGCGGCCUAUCAGCUAGUUGGUGUGGGUAACGGCCCACCAAGGCGACGACGGGUAGCCGGCCUGAGAGGGUGUCCGGCCACACUGGGACUGAGACACGGCCCAGACUCCGUACGGGAGGCAG
RNAcentral lists this ribosomal RNA (235 nucleotides) under uncultured bacterium. RNAcentral's name for it is "partial 16S ribosomal RNA". It matches the Rfam family "Bacterial small subunit ribosomal RNA", at positions 118 to 351 of the family's 1533-position model. The record is from RNAcentral.